AUCCAGACUCCUACGGGAGGCAGCAGUGGGGGAUAUUGCACAAUGGGGGGAACCCUGAUGCAGCGACGCCGCGUGAGCGAUGAAGUAUUUCGGUAUGUAAAGCUCUCUCAGCAGGGAAGAAAAUGACGGUACCUGACUAAGAAGCCCCGGCUAACUACGUGCCAGCAGCCGCGGUAAUACGUAGGGGGCAAGCGUUAUCCGGAUUUACUGAGUGUAAAGGGAGCGUAGACGGCAGUGCAAGUCUGAAGUGAAAGGCGGGGGCCCAACCCCCGGACUGCUUUGGAAACUGUGCUGCUGGAGUGCAGGAGAGGCAGGUGGAAUUCCUAGUGUAGCGGUGAAAUGCGUAGAUAUUAGGAGGAACACCGGUGGCGAAGGCGGCCUGCUGGACUGUAACUGACGUUGAGGCUCGAAAGCGUGGGGAGCAAACAGGAUUAGAUACCCGUGUA
Molecule: ribosomal RNA, 446 nt
Filed under: uncultured bacterium
Lineage: Bacteria
Description: bacterial SSU rRNA
Rfam family: Bacterial small subunit ribosomal RNA
Source: RNAcentral